GCAAACUUGGUCAUUUAGAGGAAGUAAAAGUCGUAACAAGGUCUCCGUAGGUGAACCUGCGGAGGGAUCAUUACCAAAGAUGGUGGGCCUCCCGUGCCCCCGUCCCCAACCCAUUGUUGACUUAAAAAACCCUUUUGCCUCGGGGGCAGAGCGUCCGCCGCCGCCCCCGGAGGACCACCUAACGCUGUCUCUUUGCGUCGGAGUAAUUGAUUAAAUGAAUGAAAACUUUCAACAACGGAUCUCUUGGUUCUGGCAUCGAUGAAGAACGCAGC
Molecule: unclassified non-coding RNA, 272 nt
Filed under: uncultured fungus
Lineage: Eukaryota; Fungi
Description: partial contains small subunit ribosomal RNA, internal transcribed spacer 1, and 5.8S ribosomal RNA
Rfam family: Eukaryotic small subunit ribosomal RNA (bases 1-73)
Source: RNAcentral